AGAGUUUGUAUCCGUGGACGUCAGGAUUAACGGCUGGCGGACGUGCAUAACACAUGCAAGUCGAACGAUGAAGAUAUUUAGAUUCCUUCGGGAUGAAAAAUAUUGGAUUAGUGGCGGACGGGUGAGUAACGCGUGAGUAACCUGCCUUACACAAGGGGAUAGCCGUUGGAAACGACGAAUAAUACCCUAUGACAUAAACUCUUCGCAUGAAGAGCUUAUCAAAGAUUUAUCGGUGUAAGAUGGACUCGCGUCUGAUUAGCUAGUUGGUGAGGUAACGGCCCACCAAGGCAACGAUCAGUAGCCGGCUUGAGAGAGUGUACGGCCACAUUGGGACUGAGACACGGCCCAGACUCCUACGGGAGGCAGCAGUGGGGGAAUUUUUGCACAAUGGGGGGAAACCCUGAUGCAGCGACGCCGCGUGAUUUAGAAGGCCUUCGGGUUGUAAAAAUCUUUUGUAUGGGAAGAAAAUGACAGUACCAUACGAAUAAGGACCGGCUAAUUACGUG
Molecule: ribosomal RNA, 506 nt
Filed under: uncultured Anaerococcus sp.
Lineage: Bacteria; Bacillati; Bacillota; Tissierellia; Tissierellales; Peptoniphilaceae
Description: bacterial SSU rRNA
Rfam family: Bacterial small subunit ribosomal RNA
Source: RNAcentral